GUGUCCCAAGGGAGCCAAUGAGGGGCUGGGGGCGGGGCGCCGCAAGGAACCCUUGAGACCUGGCGGGCCCAGGCGGCAGGCCGGAGUAGCGGAGGCCAGAGCCUUGAGGAGACGAGGGUAGGAAGGGCCAGCUCUGCUCACGGUGCUCCCUGGACACUCCAGACAUCCACUCUGUGAGGUGACAUCUCCAGGCAAAAGCAGCCUAAGAGAGUGCCAAGGUCAGCGGGACAGAGGGCCUGUGAACUCAAGCGUAGGUGGAAGGAUUCACUUUGAGACGUGACAUCUUGGAGCCACACGGCCCAAAGGAGCUUGCCUGGUUGAAUAAAGAAACCACUCAACAAAGGAUGCUCCUUCCCCAGCCUGAAGAAGCGGCUGGUGCCACCUACAGCCUGGAAACUGGCUCUACAAUCCUCACCUGCCGCCCUGGCUGGUCUUCCGUGGAAGAGAGAUUAGAAUUGAUGCAGGGGAUGGAAAAUGGGCAGUCAACUCUCAAGAUGAAUUUUCCCUGAUAAAUUGUCAACAACUAGAAACGUGUUUAAAAAUUAUUUUGACUAAAGAGCUUUUGAAGAUUGUAGCAAUUAGAUCAAGAUUUGUGAACUACAUUUCCUAUAAAUAUAUUUCUUCUAGAGAGCACCUUAUGGGAUGUGGUCACAUAUUUUUUUUUUGGUCUAUAGCAACCCCAAAACGUUCAACUCAGUGCUAGAUUAGGUUAGUGGGUACACGCUUAUCCACAUUGUCUUAUUUUAGGGGAAAAGAGAUUACUGUGAAACCAUCAGAUAACACACGCUUCUGAAAAGAAAUGAAAUGUAUUUUUAUCGGUGGAGCCAAAAUGAAGUAUGUCUUGAAAUCUGUUUUACAAAUAAGCUUGUUCAUAAAUUGUCCAUUCACUGCU
Balaenoptera musculus (blue whale) is the source of this 892-nucleotide long non-coding RNA. RefSeq lists it as uncharacterized. The record is from RefSeq and is a predicted model, not a curated record. NCBI's taxonomy places the organism in Eukaryota, Metazoa, Chordata, Mammalia, Artiodactyla, Balaenopteridae. The transcript has 3 exons.